Non-coding RNA from Vicugna pacos (alpaca), 841 nucleotides. The record is from RefSeq and is a predicted model, not a curated record. Lineage: Eukaryota; Metazoa; Chordata; Mammalia; Artiodactyla; Camelidae.
UAUAAAUUCUGGAAUUGUUUGGUCUAGUUCUGUGAGGAAUGUCUGGCACGUCUGUCAAAAUCAGUGGACCGUACCCACGUGGACCCGGCUCUGAACUCUCUUCUGCCCGACUGCUCUGGUCAUCCGUCUCUCACGACGCCGUGCUGUCCAAAAUUCUGCAGCGGCACAGCACGUCUCAACAUCCAGCAGCGCACAUCCUCCAACUUUGUUCUGCUUCCUUGAGAUUAUCUUGGCCGUUCUAGGCCCUUUGUGUUCCCAUACAAAUUUUAGAAUUGGCCAUUGAUUUCCAGAAAAGUGCCGACUGACGUUGCACGGAGUGGAAAGAUGAAGCUGGGGAGAAGGGCCGUGUCAUAGGCCUGCACCUCCAGCCCGGACCUUCUCUGUCAGCUCAGACGCCACCUACAAACAUUGGCUCCGGCAGCCUCCCUGCUCGCUGACCCCGCGAUGCUCGGCACCCUCAGCCUCCCCAAGCCAGUCUUCACCUGGCACCCACAGAGCUGCUCAGACUCGCCCACACCCAUCGUUUAAAGCAGUAGGAAGGGGAACUCCUGCCUGCCCCCCAGCCGCAGCGCUCUGCCCCAGCUGACCCCUCCGGCCUUGGCAGACGUCCCUCUCUCCAGUCCUCUCCCCUACUUCUCUGUGCAGCCCCUCCCUUCUCUUUCAGACCUCAGCCCACCUGUCCUGCCCUUGGAGCCCUCUCCCCAACACCCCAACUCGGGACCAGCCCCUGUACCAGCUGCCAGACUCCCUGUGCUUCCCCCGGUGGCACCCCAGGCACACAGUGCUGUGUUUGAGUGAUGUCCUCUCCCCGCGGGGGCGGCCCGGCCACCCCGCUGCCGGU